GACGAACGCUGGCGGCGUGCUUAACACAUGCAAGUCGAACGGAAAGGCCCUGCUUUUGUGGGGUGCUCGAGUGGCGAACGGGUGAGUAACACGUGAGUAACCUGCCCUUGACUUUGUGAUAACUUCAGGAAACUGGGGCUAAUACCGCAUAGGAGCUCCUGCUGCAUGGUGGUGUUUGGAAAGUUUCGGCGUUUGGGGAUGGACUCGCUGGUUAUCAGCUUGUUGGUGGGGUAGUGGCUUACCAAGGGUUUGACGGGUAGCCGGCCUGAGAGGGUGAACGGGGACAAGGGGAAUGAGAGAGGGACCAGAAGGGAACGGGAGGCAGGAGUGGGGAAGAUGACAGAAUGGGCGGAAGCAUGAGGAAGAAACGCCGGGAGCGGGAGGACGGGCUUAGGGUGGUAAACAGAUGUGGAAUGAGACGAAGAGGGAGUGACGGUAAUGGGUAAAGAAGCAACGGCUAACUACGUG
Molecule: ribosomal RNA, 468 nt
Filed under: uncultured bacterium
Lineage: Bacteria
Description: partial 16S ribosomal RNA
Rfam family: Bacterial small subunit ribosomal RNA
Source: RNAcentral